AUACGGAGGGGGCUAGCGUUGCUCGGAAUUACUGGGCGUAAAGGGCGUGUAGGCGGGACAUCAAGUUAGGCGUGAAAGCCCCGGGCUCAACCCGGGAACUGCGUUUAAUACUGAUGACCUAGAGUCCGUGAGAGGGUGGUGGAAUUCCCAGUGUAGAGGUGAAAUUCGUAGAUAUUGGGAAGAACACCAGUGGCGAAGGCGGCCACCUGGACCGGUACUGACGCUGAGGCGCGAAAGCGUGGGGAGCAAACAGAAUUAGAAACCCCAGUAGUCC
This 274-nucleotide ribosomal RNA is filed under the name uncultured bacterium. RNAcentral describes it as "partial 16S ribosomal RNA". It matches the Rfam family "Bacterial small subunit ribosomal RNA", at positions 523 to 796 of the family's 1533-position model. The record is from RNAcentral.